AUAUUGUAAAAACAUCAAUACCAUAUAGAGCAUAUAAGGCAUAUUAUGCUGUAUAUAACUGUAAAGACACAAAACAGCAUAUAUGGUAUUGCUGUUUUGUGUCCCUGCAAAUGCUGUAAAAAUGUUUCCAUAUUCAACCAAUUCAAUACCAGUAGUGAUUAUCAAUUUAAUCUGUGUCAGAGUCAAGCUGGAUAUUCAGUGGGAUGUAAGAUGGCUAAUAAAACAGAAUCAAAAAUUAACAUGGGAACUAGAACUAAGAAAGAAGAAUACUGCCUAAAAUUGAUUCAAAACAGAUUCUAAAUGCUCAUGGAAGAGGAAAAUGUCUUACAGAAGGCAUACAAUGGAACAGUGAUGAUCAUCAAGGACAAUGUGGAGGAAACUUCACAUUCAACCAAAAAAUCUUGUCAAGAAAAUAUCUGCCAAAAUAUGAGUUGAUUGAAAAGAUAAGGAAAAUGAAAGUCAUAUCAUCAAUCAAUCCAUAAUAGGAUAUAGAAAAAUAUGCAAAGUAAUACAAAAGAAAAUACAAAAAGAUUUAAGGAGAUUCAAUGUGAAAAAGAAUCAAACAGCCAUUAUUUUCCAACUGAAGCCAGUAAUUUUCAGCAAUUUCUUUGCUUGAAGCCUGAUAUAUUUUCUUCAACGUAAAAAAAAAGAACCAAACAAUAGACUAUUGCUGAUUGACUGUUGACUCUGGUCAGCAAGAUAGGACAUAAUGACUGGCAUACAUCAACUAACUGAAAUCAAAAAAAGAUAAUGGAGAACUUAUCACUGACAGAGAAAUACAGCAGAAAAAUAACAGUCUUCUAU
RNAcentral lists this long non-coding RNA (804 nucleotides) under Androctonus crassicauda. Lineage: Eukaryota; Metazoa; Arthropoda; Arachnida; Scorpiones; Buthidae. The record is from RNAcentral.